This 568-nucleotide ribosomal RNA is filed under the name uncultured bacterium. RNAcentral describes it as "partial 16S ribosomal RNA". It matches the Rfam family "Bacterial small subunit ribosomal RNA", at positions 355 to 1375 of the family's 1533-position model. The record is from RNAcentral.
UGGGGAAUAUUGCACAAUGGGCGAAAGCCUGAUGCAGCGACGCCGCGUGAGGGAUGACGGCCUUCGGGUUGUAAACCUCUUUCAGCAGGGAAGAAGCGAAAGUGACGGUACCUGCAGAAGAAGCGCCGGCUAACUACGUGCCAGCAGCCGCGGUAAUACGUAGGGCGCAAGCGUUGUCCGGAAUUAUUGGGCGUAAAGAGCUCGUAGGCGGUUAGUCGCGUCUGCUGUGAAAACUCGAGGCUCAACCCCGGGCUUGCAGUGGGUACGGGCUGACUAGAGUGCGGUAGGGGUGACUGGAAUUCCUGGUGUAGCGGUGGAAUGCGCAGAUAUCAGGAGGAACACCGAUGGCGAAGGCAGGUCACUGGGCCGCAACUGACGCUGAGGAGCGAAAGCAUGGGGAGCGAACAGGAUUAGAUACCCUGGUAGUCCAUGCCGUAAACGUUGGGCACUAGGUGUGGGUCCAUUCCACGGAUUCCGUGCCGCAGCAAAGCGCAUUAAGUGCCCCGCCUGGGGAGUACGGCCGCAAGGCUAAAACUUAAAGGAAUUGACGGGGUCAUAGCUGUUUCCU